Molecule: non-coding RNA, 70 nt
Organism: Gregarina niphandrodes
Lineage: Eukaryota; Apicomplexa; Conoidasida; Eugregarinorida; Gregarinidae
Source: the annotation of a RefSeq genome assembly
GGCUGUUUGGUCAAGUGGCAUGGUUCUUCCAUGGUGGAAGAAGUCCUGGGUUCGAUUCACAGAACAGCUC